RNAcentral lists this small nuclear RNA (331 nucleotides) under Neotoma lepida (desert woodrat). Its description in RNAcentral is "7SK RNA". The stretch from base 1 to 284 matches the Rfam family "7SK RNA". Rfam says of the family: 7SK was discovered as an abundant small nuclear RNA in the mid-70s but a possible function has only recently been suggested. Two independent studies have found that 7SK RNA binds the CDK9/cyclin T complex (known as elongation factor P-TEFb). The record is from Rfam by way of RNAcentral. Lineage: Eukaryota; Metazoa; Chordata; Mammalia; Rodentia; Cricetidae.
GGAUGAUGGGGUGAUCUGGCUUUGUCAUUUGACAUCCUUUUGAUCACCAGGAUUAAUUUGACUAAUCUGGCUAUCUAGGCAGGUGUUUUAUUCCUCUUUCACCCAUUCCAUAUGUGUUCUCUGGCCCAAAGAUGUGUGCUUGACGGUAGAGUAGAGCUUUUUCUCACGAAAGAGGAGGAACAUUCCUUUUAUGAGUGUAUAUUAAUAGGUGUGGUCCCUAAAUAAACUGAGUGUGAGGCCAUUUGCUUCAUGUUCCUGCUUCUGUUUCUGCAUUGGAACUUGUGUAAACCUGGUUAAAAACAUUUAACAUCUUUGAAGCUCAGCUUCUUUA